UCCUAGUUGGUGAGGUAAGGCUUACCAAGGCUUCGAUCAGUAGUUGGUCUGAGAGGACGACCAGCCACACUGGGACUGAGACACGGCCCAGACUCCUACGGGAGGCAGCAGUGGGGAAUUUUGGACAAUGGGCGCAAGCCUGAUCCAGCCAUGCCGCGUGAGUGAAGAAGGCCUUCGGGUUGUAAAGCUCUUUCAGUUGGGAAGAAACGAUUGCGACUAAUAAUUGUAAUUAAUGACGGUACCGACAGAAGAAGCACCGGCUAACUACGUGCCAGCAGCCGCGGUAAUACGUAGGGUGCGAGCGUUAAUCGGAAUUACUGGGCGUAAAGGGUGCGCAGGCGGUUUUGUAAGUCAGAUGUGAAAUCCCCGGGCUNAACCUGGGAACUGCGUUUGAAACUACAAAGCUAGA
RNAcentral lists this ribosomal RNA (409 nucleotides) under uncultured Nitrosococcus sp. Its description in RNAcentral is "bacterial SSU rRNA". It matches the Rfam family "Bacterial small subunit ribosomal RNA", at positions 243 to 645 of the family's 1533-position model. The record is from RNAcentral. Lineage: Bacteria; Pseudomonadati; Pseudomonadota; Gammaproteobacteria; Chromatiales; Chromatiaceae.